GUAAACAACAUGGCGUUUGUGCGCGGCGUAAAGACUAAAACAGUUGUUUGGAACAACUUAAAACAACAAGUCCGUUUGCGUGUUGUGCUGUGCUGGUAUUUUUAUUUUUUUAUAUAGUAAUGUAGGGCUUAUGUUACACUAAAGUGUGACAUUGGCAGUGAAACGUUUGUACAAUUUAAAGCUGCGGCUUAUGAAUUAAAAUGAUCAGAAGAAGAAGGGAGAGAGUGCGAGAUAAGACUAGUCAACAUAUUGACCAAUCGAGAGUCAUGGGGUAAGGCAGCUUAUUAGAGACAUUGGGGGCAAUUACGUGUGCCAUAUUUGUGGCAGAGCUUACAUGACAAAGAAAACAUUGAUACGACACAUUAGAUAUGAAUGUGGGCAGGAACCUCAGUUCCCAUGUCCUUACUGUCGAAUGAAGUACAAACGAAGAUAUAUAUUGAGAGCCCAUAUUAUCAAGAGACAUAAUAACUGGACAGUGUCUUACACAGCUUAAGAACUCAGAAAUAAUUAUUUUAUUGUAAAAUAAAAAAAUAACAUUUGGAGGAGAGUAACGAAUCUGCGAAAGAAAAUUAUAAUUAGUUCCAUGUUCCAUAGAUUAUCUGAAAAUGCAAAUUACUGCAUGUGCUCACUUUCAAUUGUGAAAUAUGUUUUAUGUAAGAUCAGCCUGUAGCACUUCGUAAUGCUUGUAUUGAAUGGUGAUAAUAAACUGAACUUAUGGAGCUUUGAGCAGUUCAUAAUUAUGGAUGAAUGAUUUACCUAUGUAUACAGUGGUAUUAAUAACUUACUGUAGUUGCAUUUAUUCACAGAUCAUAAGUGCUACAGGAAAAUAUAAAACUUUGUAAGAGCUGCUUAUACAAAUGUGAACAAAAAGAUGUAUUGGAGUUCUUUGAAUGAAAUUGAUACCUGUACCAUUUUGAAUUUUUUAUAGUUUAGAUGGAAUCCAAGAGAGAGAACUCAAUGCUUUUAUGUGUUGUCUGUGUGUUACUUUUUGAAGGAGAAACAUUUUUGAUAAUAUUGCCAAGAAAGAGAGGGUGGUUGGAUAGUAUUGGGUAGGGGUGGGGAUAUUUAUUAGGCUUAAUGGAAAUAAGUUAAGACACUCAAUUCUGCUUCAAAUGUGAGGAUUGUGGUAAGAACUACACUGCAAAGCAAAGUCUGACAAGACAUCUGCGCUAUGAGUGUGGAAUGGAACCUCAGUUUUCUUGCCCAUUUUGUCCAAUGAAAUAUAGGCAGAAGCAUUAUUUAAAGACUCACGUUGUCAGAGCACACAGCAACUGGACUGCACACACAAAAUAAAAACACUGGAAAAUCAGCAGACGUGUUAAUUGAAAUACAAGAGUCAUUUAAACAUGUAACUUUAUUUAAUAUUUCCUGCAAAAUGUGGUAUCUUUUUUCUAAAACAGUAAAAUAUAUACAGAGACGUCAGCUACGUUUAUAAAAUGUUCUUCAUAAAGAUAUCUGAAAAUUGAAGAUAAAGUGUGAAUUUUGUAGGUUUCUUAAAAGAUAAUUAUGAUACCGUGUUGAUUUUACUCUCUGGAUCUAUGGUUGUCUGUGUAUUAACAUAUGUAUCCAAAUAUUUGUAUUAAUAUAUAUGUAUAUCAACUAUUAUUUUAAUUUUUAUAGUGCCGUGAACUUGAUAAAUAAGCGACUGAAAUAUAUGUAGA
This 1661-nucleotide long non-coding RNA is filed under the name Schistocerca americana (American grasshopper). RNAcentral describes it as "uncharacterized LOC124606145". Lineage: Eukaryota; Metazoa; Arthropoda; Insecta; Orthoptera; Acrididae. The record is from RNAcentral.